This 458-nucleotide ribosomal RNA is filed under the name uncultured bacterium. Its description in RNAcentral is "partial 16S ribosomal RNA". It matches the Rfam family "Bacterial small subunit ribosomal RNA", at positions 338 to 795 of the family's 1533-position model. The record is from RNAcentral.
CCUACGGGAGGCAGCAGUGAGGAAUAUUGGUCAAUGGGCGAGAGCCUGAACCAGCCAAGUCGCGUGAGGGAGUACUGCCCUAUGGGUUGUAAACCUCUUUUGUCGGGGAGCAAAAGCCGGACGUGUCCGGCUGUGAGAGUACCCGAAGAAAAAGCAUCGGCAAACUCCGUGCCAGCAGCCGCGGUAAUACGGAGGAUGCGAGCGUUAUCCGGAUUUAUUGGGUUUAAAGGGUGCGCAGGCGGAUUUUUAAGUCAGCGGUAAAAUCGUGGGGCUCAACCCCAUCCAGCCGUUGAAACUGGGGAUCUAGAGUGUGUGAGAGGUAUGCGGAAUGCGUGGUGUAGCGGUGAAAUGCAUAGAUAUCACGCAGAACCCCGAUUGCGAAGGCAGCAUACCGGUGCACAACUGACGCUCAGGCACGAAAGCGUGGGUAUCGAACAGGAUUAGAUACCCCUGUAGUC